Molecule: ribosomal RNA, 465 nt
Filed under: uncultured Klebsiella sp.
Lineage: Bacteria; Pseudomonadati; Pseudomonadota; Gammaproteobacteria; Enterobacterales; Enterobacteriaceae
Description: bacterial SSU rRNA
Rfam family: Bacterial small subunit ribosomal RNA
Source: RNAcentral
CCUACGGGAGGCAGCAGUGGGGAAUAUUGCACAAUGGGCGCAAGCCUGAUGCAGCCAUGCCGCGUGUGUGAAGAAGGCCUUCGGGUUGUAAAGCACUUUCAGCGGGGAGGAAGGCGGUGAGGUUAAUAACCUCAUCGAUUGACGUUACCCGCAGAAGAAGCACUGGCUAACUCCGUGCCAGCAGCCGCGGUAAUACGGAGGGUGCAAGCGCUAAUCGGAAUUACUGGGCGUAAAGCGCACGCAGGCGGUCUGUCAAGUCGGAUGUGAAAUCCCCGGGCUCAACCUGGGAACUGCAUUCGAAACUGGCAGGCUAGAGUCUUGUAGAGGGGGGUAGAAUUCCAGGUGUAGCGGUGAAAUGCGUAGAGAUCUGGAGGAAUACCGGUGGCGAAGGCGGCCCCCUGGACAAAGACUGACGCUCAGGUGCGAAAGCGUGGGGAGCAAACAGGAUUAGAUACCCCGGUAGUC